GCUAAAUAAAGCUUUGCUCAUCCAAAACUACCAACCCUGGGAGCUGGGGAGAUGUUGCAGUUGCCCUCGCUAACCUGAGUGAUUCUGAAACUACACAAGCUGCAUUUGGGAGAAGGAGAAGUGUCUGGGAAGGGGCCCCGAAGAGAGGAAGAAGAACAGACGGAGACCAGGGGGAACUGGGAAGGAGCAAGUGCGGAGGCGAUCCUGAAGCUGCUGAGGAAGGAAGUGAGCUCGCCUCAAGCUCUUUUGCUGCAGAAAUGCACGGAAAAUAUGAGAGGAUCCUGAAAGAAUUCUCUGGCAGAGAGCACAUCUUGUUUUCGGCCAGCAUUUGUUCGUCGUCGUCGUCGUCGUUGUCGUCGUCGUCGUCACUACUACCUACAUUCCCCCGCCGUGUUCACAUAUGAAAACAAUUAUUUCUCAGUUCAGGAAGUCAGUUUUAAUCGUUAGUUUGGCUUCAAAGGAUCCAGCACCCUUUACAAGGUCAGACUAGCUCCAAAGACAGCUAGGCAGAAACUCUGGCCUGGGGGUAAGCUGAGCUUUCCUGGUAGGCAACUACUUAGAACUUGUGCUUGAGUCCUGGAAAUGAGGAAGAUGUCCUAUCUGAGGUGGAAGGGAAGAGUUCAUCCCUGAGUGCUGGAGAGACGGUCUCAGAGAAACAACUUCCCUCAGUCUCACCUGCACUCGGUAUUCAACAAGUUCCACUGGAGAGACUCGAGCCCCACACAGGGGUCAGGGCCCUGAUUUCUUGCCCCAGAUGUGUGACCCUAGGCAAAUCCAUCAGAAUCUAGGAAUUUCUAUUUACUCAGGUGUAUGUAGGGUUUCAACCAGUCCUUCUGCUAAGCAUAAAUACCUUCUGUUUUCCUUAUUGGCUCUGCACCAUGACAACUGUAAAUUAAUCUUUAUCUUCAGACAGCAAUAGAAUUAGAUGCAAUAUGAGCAUUUUGCUUUGAUGGAUAUAACAGAAAGCCUUCACAUCUGUGCACGUGGUAGGGGUUAAUAUAAUGGAGAGCCCUACACACCAGGGUCUUUCAGAUUAUAGUGGGCAAAAGAAUCAGCUCAUUGAAAAUGCAUUGAGAGAUUGGCCUUGAGAAUCAGCGCAGACAGCUGCACCAUGUGGGUCAGGUCUGGAGGGGAUACUUACAGACAUCUGAGCCUUGGCUGGGCACCCAGGCUGUCCCCGCACAGCUGGGCCUGCUCUUCAUACCCAACUUAAGAGAUUUUGCUGCUGCUUCUAACAGUUAGGAAACCAGCUUGGAAGGCUUGACUCUGCAAGGGAGGGGCCACCUGGCCCAGGUUAACAGCCAGCUAGAGUGCUAAAGAGGGAAAUAAAAAUUAAGAACAUAGAUUCUGUGAAUCA
RNAcentral lists this long non-coding RNA (1357 nucleotides) under Mus spicilegus (steppe mouse). Its description in RNAcentral is "lncRNA (ENSMSIG00000010875.1)". The record is from RNAcentral. Lineage: Eukaryota; Metazoa; Chordata; Mammalia; Rodentia; Muridae.